RNAcentral lists this ribosomal RNA (190 nucleotides) under uncultured Staphylococcus sp. Its description in RNAcentral is "partial 16S ribosomal RNA". It matches the Rfam family "Bacterial small subunit ribosomal RNA", at positions 150 to 334 of the family's 1533-position model. Lineage: Bacteria; Bacillati; Bacillota; Bacilli; Caryophanales; Staphylococcaceae. The record is from RNAcentral.
CGGGAAACCGGAGCUAAUACCGGAUAAUAUAUUGAACCGCAUGGUUCAAUAGUGAAAGACGGUUUUGCUGUCACUUAUAGAUGGAUCCGCGCCGCAUUAGCUAGUUGGUAAGGUAACGGCUUACCAAGGCAACGAUGCGUAGCCGACCUAAGAGGGUGAUCGGCCACACUGGAACUGAGACACGGUCCAG